This 1099-nucleotide ribosomal RNA is filed under the name Vibrio sp. Its description in RNAcentral is "bacterial SSU rRNA". It matches the Rfam family "Bacterial small subunit ribosomal RNA", at positions 56 to 1137 of the family's 1533-position model. The record is from RNAcentral. Lineage: Bacteria; Pseudomonadati; Pseudomonadota; Gammaproteobacteria; Vibrionales; Vibrionaceae.
UGCAGUCGAGCGGAACGAGUUAACUGAACCUUCGGGGAACGUUAACGGCGUCGAGCGGCGGACGGGUGAGUAAUGCCUGGGAAAUUGCCCUGAUGUGGGGGAUAACCAUUGGAAACGAUGGCUAAUACCGCAUAAUAGCUUCGGCUCAAAGAGGGGGACCUUCGGGCCUCUCGCGUCAGGAUAUGCCCAGGUGGGAUUAGCUAGUUGGUGAGGUAAUGGCUCACCAAGGCGACGAUCCCUAGCUGGUCUGAGAGGAUGAUCAGCCACACUGGAACUGAGACACGGUCCAGACUCCUACGGGAGGCAGCAGUGGGGAAUAUUGCACAAUGGGCGCAAGCCUGAUGCAGCCAUGCCGCGUGUGUGAAGAAGGCCUUCGGGUUGUAAAGCACUUUCAGUCGUGAGGAAGGUAGUGUCGUUAAUAGCGGCAUUAUUUGACGUUAGCUACAGAAGAAGCACCGGCUAACUCCGUGCCAGCAGCCGCGGUAAUACGGAGGGUGCGAGCGUUAAUCGGAAUUACUGGGCGUAAAGCGCAUGCAGGUGGUUAGUUAAGUCAGAUGUGAAAGCCCGGGGCUCAACCUCGGAACUGCAUUUGAAACUGGCUGACUAGAGUACUGUAGAGGGGGGUAGAAUUUCAGGUGUAGCGGUGAAAUGCGUAGAGAUCUGAAGGAAUACCGGUGGCGAAGGCGGCCCCCUGGACAGAUACUGACACUCAGAUGCGAAAGCGUGGGGAGCAAACAGGAUUAGAUACCCUGGUAGUCCACGCCGUAAACGAUGUCUACUUGGAGGUUGUGGCCUUGAGCCGUGGCUUUCGGAGCUAACGCGUUAAGUAGACCGCCUGGGGAGUACGGUCGCAAGAUUAAAACUCAAAUGAAUUGACGGGGGCCCGCACAAGCGGUGGAGCAUGUGGUUUAAUUCGAUGCAACGCGAAGAACCUUACCUACUCUUGACAUCCUCAGAACNUACUGGAGAUGCUUUGGUGCCUUCGGGAACUCAGAGACAGGUGCUGCAUGGCUGUCGUCAGCUCGUGUUGUGAAAUGUUGGGUUAAGUCCCGCAACGAGCGCAACCCUUAUCCUUGUUUGCCAGCACUUCGGGUGGGAA